This 983-nucleotide long non-coding RNA is filed under the name Accipiter nisus (Eurasian sparrowhawk). Its description in RNAcentral is "lncRNA (ENSANIG00000012819.1)". The record is from RNAcentral. Lineage: Eukaryota; Metazoa; Chordata; Aves; Accipitriformes; Accipitridae.
CCGCGCUCGCUCCGCGCUCGCCGCCCUGUAACUUGUGUUCUGGGAAGUGGUGCCAGGAAUAGCCCGGCAGAUCCGCCUGCAGCCCGGAGCGCUCCCUCCCGCCUCGGCCAGGGCGGGCUGCGGCUCCCGGGCCUCCGCCUCUCUCUCCCCCGUGCAACACCAGCCCCUCCGGCACUGUCAGGGUGACGGUGAUGAUCCUUUCCAAAGAGAGGGAGAGAAAUGACCUGCCUUAAGAUAAAUGCGUGAAGCGGGCGCCCCUUGGCCGCUGGAAUAUCUCUGUCUGUCUUUAUAUAUAAAGAAGCACCGCGAGCCACCUCACUCCAGGCAAGCCCUUAGCAAAGGAGCAACAAGAGCGCCCGGCGGGAUCAGCAGCAGCAGCAACAACAACAACAAGGGCACCGGGAGGGCUUCCCUCCUUCCUCCUCGGUGACUUCCCAGUUCUGUCCUAAUAUGCUUACGGAGUCUGAAAAAUGCAACUCUAAUAUACAAGAAAUUUCAGCCUGCACACAAAAAAUUGUAAAGAAUAUCUCUGUUCUUAAAAAUGUGGGACCCUCUUCUGAUAUGUGAUCUACAGCGAGCUACUUUGAAUCGUACGAUGACAAUGUUAUCACUGCCACAUCUCUGGGAACCAGUUAUUCAUAAGUAUACGGUGGAAGAGAGAGUCAACAGCCAUAUUUGCUGGAGCGGUGAACCAAAUUGCCUUGACUGGAACCAUUACUCACUUGCACCUUUGACAGCAGCAGCCAGGAAAUUUGAAGCUAGUCAUGCCUAUUAGAUGCCUAGAAGAUGCAGAUAGCUGUGUCACCAUGGAAGAGAUGAAGAGAACUUUGCUCUAGUAGAUCACAAGUAUCUCUGGGUCAUUCUGCAUCUCAGUAUUUAAUAACAAUGGAAAAAGUCCAAAUGCUAUAACAAGUCUUUGCAAAUGUAUAAUAAACUGUUUAGGAAAGUUCCUGCCAUGAACAGAACUGUAUAAUACUCACAUU